AAGUCGUAACAAGGUUUCCGUAGGUGAACCUGCGGAAGGAUCAUUACCGAGUUAGGGUAGUCACUUCCUGCCCGACCUCCCAACCCUUUGUUUACUGAACCUCUGUUGCUUCGGCGGGCCCGUCUCACGACCGCCGGAGGACCGCCGACAGGUGUCCUCUGGCCCGUGUCCGCCGACAGCCAAGCUCUCAAAACUCUGUAUGAAUCGUGUCCUUUAUCUCUAAGUCUAUGAUUUAAACAAAUCAAAAAGCAAAACUUUCAACAACGGAUCUCUUGGUUCUG
This 281-nucleotide unclassified non-coding RNA is filed under the name fungal sp. RNAcentral's name for it is "partial internal transcribed spacer region". The stretch from base 1 to 46 matches the Rfam family "Eukaryotic small subunit ribosomal RNA", at positions 1786 to 1831 of the family's 1831-position model. The record is from RNAcentral. Lineage: Eukaryota; Fungi.